UACAGAGGGUGCGAGCGUUAAUCGGAAUUACUGGGCGUAAAGCGUGCGUAGUCGGUUAUCUAAGUCGGGUGUGAAAUCCCCGGGCUCAACCUGGGAAUUGCAUUCGAUACUGGAUAGCUAGAGUUCGGCAGAGGGAAGCGGAAUUUCGGGUGUAGCGGUGAAAUGCGUAGAUAUCCGAAGGAACAUCAGUGGCGAAAGCGACUCGCUGGACAAGGUAUUGAACGCUGAGGUGCGAAAGCGAUGGGGAGCA
Molecule: ribosomal RNA, 250 nt
Filed under: uncultured bacterium
Lineage: Bacteria
Description: partial 16S ribosomal RNA
Rfam family: Bacterial small subunit ribosomal RNA
Source: RNAcentral